This 478-nucleotide long non-coding RNA is filed under the name Solanum tuberosum (potato). RNAcentral's name for it is "long non-coding RNA (STUB_LNC009752)". Lineage: Eukaryota; Viridiplantae; Streptophyta; Magnoliopsida; Solanales; Solanaceae. The record is from RNAcentral.
UGUUUCCUAGUUUCAAAGUUUCCUUAUUAGGAUUUAAUAUUUAUUAUUUCCAUUAAAAUAGGAUUCAAAGCACAUCAUAUUUGGGAUAGGAUUUCCCUAUACAUAUAAGGGUAAAUUUUGUUAUUUUUAGUUUGAAUAAAAAUAUUAUGAAUAUUAUUUGAGAGGUUUCUAAACCCUCAGGGGUUGGCCUGCUGGCAAUUGACUUGAGCCUUGGGGUUUGCUCCCUUUCAAGGUCUCAAGUUCGAAACCCACUGGGUGCAAACAAUUUCUGAGGGCCAUCGGACUGGGUAAAACCUGAAUUAACCGUGGUGCACUUGCGGGAAACUCCUUGCCGAGGGCCUGUGCACCCCGGGAUUAGUCGGGGCUCAAAGAGACUCGGACACCCGGUGCAAAUCAAAAAAAAAUUAUUUGAGAGGUUUCUCUUCUUUACACAUUUGUGAGUGUUUACUUGGAAUUUAUCUUACAAACAAUUCUUUAA